RNAcentral lists this ribosomal RNA (624 nucleotides) under Oxalobacteraceae bacterium Se3Pw_3445. RNAcentral's name for it is "bacterial SSU rRNA". It matches the Rfam family "Bacterial small subunit ribosomal RNA", at positions 393 to 1010 of the family's 1533-position model. The record is from RNAcentral. Lineage: Bacteria; Pseudomonadati; Pseudomonadota; Betaproteobacteria; Burkholderiales; Oxalobacteraceae.
AAUGCCGCGUGAGUGAAGAAGGCCUUCGGGUUGUAAAGCUCUUUUGUCAGGGAAGAAACGGUGUGGGCUAAUAUCUCGUGCUAAUGACGGUACCUGAAGAAUAAGCACCGGCUAACUACGUGCCAGCAGCCGCGGUAAUACGUAGGGUGCAAGCGUUAAUCGGAAUUACUGGGCGUAAAGCGUGCGCAGGCGGUUUUGUAAGACUGUCGUGAAAUCCCCGGGCUCAACCUGGGAAUGGCGAUGGUGACUGCAAGGCUAGAGUUUGGCAGAGGGGGGUAGAAUUCCACGUGUAGCAGUGAAAUGCGUAGAUAUGUGGAGGAACACCGAUGGCGAAGGCAGCCCCCUGGGUCAAAACUGACGCUCAUGCACGAAAGCGUGGGGAGCAAACAGGAUUAGAUACCCUGGUAGUCCACGCCCUAAACGAUGUCUACUAGUUGUCGGGUUUUAAUUAACUUGGUAACGCAGCUAACGCGUGAAGUAGACCGCCUGGGGAGUACGGUCGCAAGAUUAAAACUCAAAGGAAUUGACGGGGACCCGCACAAGCGGUGGAUGAUGUGGAUUAAUUCGAUGCAACGCGAAAAACCUUACCUACCCUUGACAUGGAUGGAAUCCCGAAGAGAUUUG